GAUGAACGCUGGCGGCGUGCCUAACACAUGCAAGUCGAACGAAGCUCCUGCGACAGAUUCCUUCGGGAUGAAGAUGCUUGAGACUUAGUGGCGGACGGGUGAGUAACGCGUGGGUAACCUGCCCUGUACUGGGGGACAACAGUUAGAAAUGACUGCUAAUACCGCAUAAGCCUACGGAGUCGCAUGACUCAGCAGGAAAAAUUCCGGUGGUACAGGAUGGGCCCGCGUCUGAUUAGCUAGUUGGUGAGGUAAUGGCUCACCAAGGCGACGAUCAGUAGCCGGCUUGAGAGAGUGAACGGCCACAUUGGGACUGAGACACGGCCCAAACUCCUACGGGAGGCAGCAGUGGGGAAUAUUGCACAGUGGGGGAAACCCUGAUGCAGCAACGCCGCGUGAGUGAAGAAGUAUUUCGGUAUGUAAAGCUCUAUCGGCAGGGAAAAAAAUGACGGUACCUGACUAAGAAGCACCGGCUAAAUACGUGCCAGCCGCCGCGGUAAUACGUAUGGGGGCAGCGUUAUCCCGGAUUUACGGGGUGGAAAGGGAGGGGAGGGGGUUUGGCAAGUUUGAUGUGAAAAUUCCGGGGCUCAACUCCGGAACUGCAUUGGAAAACUUUCAGACUAGAGUGUCGGAGAGGUAAGUGGAAUUCUUAGUGUAGCGGUGAAAUGCGUAGAUAUUAGGAGGAACACCAGUGGCGAAGGCGGCUUACUGGACGAUAACUGACGCUGAGGCUCGAAAGCGUGGGGAGCAAAACAGGAUUAGAUACCCUGGUAGUC
RNAcentral lists this ribosomal RNA (773 nucleotides) under uncultured bacterium. Its description in RNAcentral is "bacterial SSU rRNA". It matches the Rfam family "Bacterial small subunit ribosomal RNA", at positions 28 to 795 of the family's 1533-position model. The record is from RNAcentral.